GUCUGUUUUGUUAUAACCUUAGAGUUAUCUUUAUUCCAAUUAAGUCCUGAACUUAGUGUUAUGGUAAAACUUCUAUUUUACCCUAGAUUUCACAUAUUCUUAUACUCCCCCCUCAAGCCUUGGAAUACACAUUGUGAAUUCCUAGCUUGACUGAGAAUUUUGAAAUCUCAUGUUCACCUAGGGAUUUGGUGAAUAUAUCUGCAAGUUGGUACUUGGUCCCAACUUGUUUUAGGAGAAUUAUCCCCUUUUCUAUCAUUUCUCUGAUUGAAU
RNAcentral lists this long non-coding RNA (270 nucleotides) under Zostera marina. RNAcentral describes it as "long non-coding RNA (ZMAR_LNC000629)". The record is from RNAcentral. Lineage: Eukaryota; Viridiplantae; Streptophyta; Magnoliopsida; Alismatales; Zosteraceae.